UGUGUAGGAGUGAAAUCCGUAGAUAUAAGGAGGAACACCAAUGGCGUAGGCAGGUGACUGGCUCGUUUCUGACACUGAGGCACGAAAGCGUGGGGAGCGAACGGGAUUAGAUACCCCGGUAGUCCACGCCGUAAACGAUGGAUGCUAGCUGUUAGGAGUAUCGACCCUUCUAGUAGCGAAGCUAACGCGUUAAGCAUCCCGCCUGGGGAGUACGGUCGCAAGAUUAAAACUCAAAGGAAUUGACGGGGACCCGCACAAGUGGUGGAGCGUGUUCUUUAAUUCGAUGAUAAGCGAAGAACCUUACCAGGGCUUGACAUCCUUGGAAUUUCUCCGAAAGGAGAGAGUACUUUAUUGGACCAAGUGACAGGUGUUGCAUGGCCGUCGUCAGCUCGUGUCGUGAGAUGUUAGGUUAAGUCCUUCAACGAGCGCAACCCUUAUGUUUAGUUGAAUUUUUCUAAACAGACUGCCUCGGUAACGGGGAGGAAGGAGGGGAUGAUGUCAGGUCAUUAUUACCCUUACGUCCUGGGCUAGAAACGCGCUACAAUGGCCGGUACAAAGGGCAGCCAACCCGCGAGGGGGAGCAAAUCCCAUCAAAACCGGUCCCAGUUCGGAUUGCAGGCUGAAACUCGCCUGCAUGAAGCCGGAAUC
Molecule: ribosomal RNA, 648 nt
Filed under: uncultured bacterium
Lineage: Bacteria
Description: bacterial SSU rRNA
Rfam family: Bacterial small subunit ribosomal RNA
Source: RNAcentral